GGGUCCGGACACACUGAGGAUUGACAGAUAUACGCUCAUUGCUGCGUGCUUCGGCGCGUGCUUUGAGCUGAAAGAUGCUAGUUCUUUCAUGAUUAUGUGAUAGGUGGUGCAUGGCCGUUCUUAGUUCGUGGAGUGGUCUGUCUGCUUAAUUGCGUAUCAAUAAUAGAGACCUAGUAUACGCGUGGAUUUCGCGUGGUAGUGACCCCCUGUUUAACGACAGGCGUGUGUCGCACACGCGUACCUACGCACUGGUCUCAGAUAGCAACGAACGUGACCGUAUUCUAUUGUUGCAGUGAAAUGUGCCUUCUGGGUACGACCCACUGCUUAGUAUAUGUACGUGCUUCGGCGCGAACAAUAUACAUUAAACUAUAGAGACCGCUGUUUCUUCUUUAAACCAGAGGAAGGAUACGGCAAUAACAGGUCUGUGAUGCCCUCAGAUGUUCCGGGCUGCACACGUGCUACAAUGAUCAUUGCACUGUGCAUCUAACCCAAUGUGCGUGGACGCCGCAUGCAUGUGCCUUCGGGUACACGCAUUGCUGUUGCGACCACGCCGAACCUACUUCGAAAGUAAAAUUUCUCAGUGGGU
RNAcentral lists this ribosomal RNA (586 nucleotides) under Ammonia sp. genotype T2. RNAcentral's name for it is "bacterial SSU rRNA". The stretch from base 1 to 462 matches the Rfam family "Eukaryotic small subunit ribosomal RNA", at positions 1220 to 1501 of the family's 1831-position model. Lineage: Eukaryota; Foraminifera; Rotaliida; Rotaliidae. The record is from RNAcentral.